UAGGGAAUCUUCGGCAAUGGGGGCAACCCUGACCGAGCAACGCCGCGUGAGUGAAGAAGGUUUUCGGAUCGUAAAGCUCUGUUGUAAGAGAAGAACGAGUGUGAGAGUGGAAAGUUUACACUGUGACGGUAACUUACCAGAAAGGGACGGCUAACUACGUGCCAGCAGCCGCGGUAAUACGUAGGUCCCGAGCGUUAUCCGGAUUUAUUGGGCGUAAAGCGAGCGCAGGCGGUUAGAUAAGUCUGAAGUUAAAGGCUGUGGCUUAACCAUAGUACGCUUUGGAAACUGUUUAACUUGAGUGCAGAAGGGGAGAGUGGAAUUCCAUGUGUAGCGGUGAAAUGCGUAGAUAUAUGGAGGAACACCGGUGGCGAAAGCGGCUCUCUGGUCUGUAACUGACGCUGAGGCUCGAAAGCGUGGGGAGCAAACAGGAUUAGAUACCCUGGUAGUCCACGCCGUAAACGAUGAGUGCUAGGUGUUGGGUCCUUUCCGGGACUCAGUGCCGCAGCUAACGCAUUAAGCACUCCGCCUGGGGAGUACGACCGCAAGGUUG
This 550-nucleotide ribosomal RNA is filed under the name uncultured bacterium. RNAcentral's name for it is "bacterial SSU rRNA". It matches the Rfam family "Bacterial small subunit ribosomal RNA", at positions 355 to 896 of the family's 1533-position model. The record is from RNAcentral.